CUGGUCGCUGUGGGGUGUCGGCGAGGGCACGGCUUGUGGUGGGGGUUGUCGGGUCCUGGCCUCAAAACCGCGCCAGGACGGCAGAGGAGGAGAGGGGAUGUAAAGCCUACAGGAAAAAUCCCGGCUCCAGAUGGGCUUCCCUAAAGUCGUCCUCCAAGGGGAGGGGACAGCACGGCCUAAUUUUAGACAGAGUGCCCUAGUAUUACCGUGGAUGUACAGGUUAGUCGGGAGGGAGAAUAAAGCCUGGAGUUGAAGCAUUCUAGUCGAGGAGGAGAGUUUGCGCUGGCAUGUUCACCUGGGAGUAACAGAUGGGUGAUACCUGGUUCGCUCAUAACUGGUGCUCUGAGAAAUAGAGAAUUGGACAAAAUUGCCAUCCUGUGGAGCUUACAGUCAGAAAAAUCCUCUACACACAAAGCAGGCUGAGAGAAUAGCAGCUGAUCUGCAGCGGGAGCCCCAGGAGUGCAGGUCUCAACCAGAUGAGCCAGGUACUCUUCAAUCUCGGAAGCCUCUCAUCAUCUCACAAUGAUACUGUUGUAUUAAAAAUGCAUGGUAAGAAACAGACUCCAGAAAAAUACUAUGUUGGAAUUGACGUUGGCUCAGCAAGUGUUCGCGCAGCAUUGGUCGAUGGGCUUGGGACAGUGGUGGCACAUGCAGAGCAGCCAAUCCAAAUUUGGGAGCCCCAACCAGACCACUAUGAGCAAUCCUCUGCGGACAUAUGGGCUGCUUGCUGCUCAGUCACAAAGAAAGUCAUCUCUGGAGUAGAUGCUAGCCACAUUCGAGGGGUUGGGUUUGAUGCUACAUGUUCCCUUGUUGUUGUGGAUAAACAAUUCCAACCUUUGGCAGUCAACUGUGAAGGUCAAAACCAUAGGAAUGUCAUUAUGUGGAUGGACCAUCGUGCAGUCAGUCAAGUUGAGCGCAUCAAUGCAACGCAACACAGAGUUUUGAGCUAUGUAGGGGGAGUGAUGUCUGUGGAAAUGCAGCCACCUAAAUUGCUGUGGAUAAAGGAGAACCUGCAAGAAUCAUGCUGGGAGAAGGCAGGCCACUUCUUUGAUCUUCCGGAUUUCUUAUCUUGGAAAGCCACAGGUGUCACUGCAAGGUCCCUCUGUACAGUAGUGUGCAAGUGGACGUAUACCUCAGAUAAAGGUUGGGAUGACAGUUUCUGGAAAAUGAUUGGUUUGGAAGAUUUGGUAGAGGAUAAGUAUGAAAAAAUAGGAAACCACGUCUUGUCUCCUGGAGAGCCUGUUGGAAAAGGUCUAACGCCAGAAGCUGCAAGAGAUCUCGGUCUCCCUGAAGGGAUUGCGGUAGGAGCAUCUCUCAUUGAUGCCCAUGCUGGAGGACUAGGAGUAAUUGGAGCAGAUGUGAAAGGACAUAACCUGCCAUGUGAGAACCAGCCAAUUACAUCCCGAGUUGCUAUGAUCUGUGGAACAUCUUCAUGCCACAUGGGGGUCAGUGAAACACCCAUUUUUGUGCCUGGUGUCUGGGGACCUUAUUUCUCUGCAAUGGUACCUGGACUGUGGUUGAAUGAGGGAGGUCAAAGUGCUACAGGCAAGCUGGUAGAUCAUGUGGUCCGAGGCCAUGUCGCCUUCCCGGAAUUACAGGCAAAAGCUGCAGCCAGUGCUCACAGUAUAUAUACAUACUUGAACAGUCACCUGGAUCUGAUUAAGAAAUCUUUGCCUGUGGGUUUCCUCACUGUUGAUUUACAUGUUUGGCCAGAUUUCCAUGGUAACAGAUCUCCCUUAACAGAUCUGACACUAAAGGGCAUGGUUGUUGGACUAACAUUGUCUCAGGGUCUGGAUGAACUUGCCCUUAUCUACUUGGCCACGAUUCAAGCCAUUGCUUUAGGAACAAGACAUAUUUUGGAAACUAUGCAGGCUGCAGGGCAUCGUAUCAACACACUGUUCCUGUGUGGUGGGCUGAGCAAGAACCCUCUCUUUGUGCAGAUGCAUGCUGACAUUACUGGCAAGCCUGUUGUCCUGUCCAAAGAAGUGGAGUCUGUUUUGGUGGGUGCUGCUAUUCUUGGAGCCUGUGCUUCUGGGGAUUUUGCAUCUAUACAGUGGGAUUGCUCAGGAGAAUGCACAGAAAUUCAGAAUCUCACAGAGAUAAUUCCAUCCUCUCCCUUCCACAUGUGACUCUAUCCCAGAGACUCCUUCUGCAAGGAAUUCUGCUGCAUCCCUUUGUCUGACUUGGCUUUGGCCAAAAGCAGAGUAGGAUCAAAGAGGCCAUGGCGAAAAUGGGGAAAGUUGGGAGAGUUGUGCAGCCCAACCAUGAGCAUAAAAGGUGAAGGCUGUGAUUUGCUGUCAGUGGGCUCUGAGCUGCCCUAAGUCUCUGCCCGCGACGGCUUUCCUGAGCAAGUGAGCUCCAACCCGCAGCUGCAGGGAUGCGAGGAGCUGUGCCGGGGCCGCGGGAGCUUUGAGCGGCUGAGACUGCGGGCCCCGCGGCACUUGGAGCUUCGCGCAUCUUCACCCCUGCCCCGCCGAGGGGCUGCAGAAGCCCUGGAGUACUGGGGUCCCGGUGCCCGGUGUCCGGGGCGCUGCGGGGCCGCUCCGCCCGCUGCUGCUCCCGGCGGCGGCGCACGGCGGGGCGCGGGCACCCCCUGGCGGCGGCGGGCGGCGCCGGGGAGCGGACUCCGACAGCAAUGGGUGCUCCGGCAAGCGGGGACCGGGGGCUGAAGGAUGCGGGCCGCGAGUCCCGGGGCUCUCCGGGCGGUGUAAACGGGCAGGAGAGCAGCGAGGUCGCACUGUGCCCAUGCUCCCACAGCGAAGGGCUCUGGAGGUAAAAAGCGCCUGGAAAUCAAAGCCUGCUGUGGGAUUUUACGACAAGAAAUAUGAAGUAUUUUUGAGACUGGUGGAACAUCAGAGAGAGUAUCGGUCCAUCAUGAACAGCUUCUGAUCUGGAGUCAUGUAACCUGGGAACAGCAGGCAGAGCGAAUCUCCAGCUAUUUGUGAUGAGGGUAAUGUCUUCUCACUGUACCGUCCAUGGCAAAAAUACACCUUUAUCAUUUAAAGUGUACAUUUUAACUUGGAAUGAGAAAUAAAAUGCACUCACUGGC
RNA transcript from Pezoporus occidentalis (night parrot), 3049 nucleotides. It is a transcript of the gene named FGGY carbohydrate kinase domain containing, with no coding region annotated. NCBI's taxonomy places the organism in Eukaryota, Metazoa, Chordata, Aves, Psittaciformes, Psittacidae. The record is from RefSeq and is a predicted model, not a curated record. The transcript is spliced from 20 exons.